Molecule: long non-coding RNA, 171 nt
Organism: Tachysurus vachellii
Lineage: Eukaryota; Metazoa; Chordata; Actinopteri; Siluriformes; Bagridae
Exons: 3
Source: RefSeq, a predicted model, not a curated record
GUCAGGUGUAUUUAAUAAGCUGAAAUUACAUCCAGGUGAAAGAACAUCACAACAUCCAGGACUUGAAUGAACAUCCUGAGAAACUAAUCAGUUAGCAGCGGCGCUAGCCGGCGGAUUAGCGCAGUUACCUUCGAAAGAGUGCGAACUGAAAUGUGACGGUUGGGAAUCUGC